CAGUAGCCGCGGGAAUACAGAGGGUGCGAGCGUUAAUCGGAUUUACUGGGCGUAAAGCGCGCGUAGGUGGUUUGUUAAGUUGGAUGUGAAAUCCCCGGGCUCAACCUGGGAACUGCAUCCAAAACUGGCAAGCUAGAGUAUGGUAGAGGGUGGUGGAAUUUCCUGUGUAGCGGUGAAAUGCGUAGAUAUAGGAAGGAACACCAGUGGCGAAGGCGACCACCUGGACUGAUACUGACACUGAGGUGCGAAAGCGUGGGGAGCAAACAGGAUUAGAUACCCCAGUAGUCCCUGUCUCUUAACA
Molecule: ribosomal RNA, 301 nt
Filed under: uncultured bacterium
Lineage: Bacteria
Description: partial 16S ribosomal RNA
Rfam family: Bacterial small subunit ribosomal RNA
Source: RNAcentral